CACUCCUACGGGAGGCAGCAGUGGGGAAUAUUGGACAAUGGGCGCAAGCCUGAUCCAGCCAUGCCGCGUGAGUGAUGAAGGCCCUAGGGUUGUAAAGCUCUUUCACCGGUGAAGAUAAUGACGGUAACCGGAGAAGAAGCCCCGGCUAACUUCGUGCCAGCAGCCGCGGUAAUACGAAGGGGGCUAGCGUUGUUCGGAUUUACUGGGCGUAAAGCGCACGUAGGCGGACUAUUAAGUCAGGGGUGAAAUCCCGGGGCUCAACCCCGGAACUGCCUUUGAUACUGGUAGUCUUGAGUUCGAGAGAGGUGAGUGGAAUUCCGAGUGUAGAGGUGAAAUUCGUAGAUAUUCGGAGGAACACCAGUGGCGAAGGCGGCUCACUGGCUCGAUACUGACGCUGAGGUGCGAAAGCGUGGGGAGCAAACAGGAUUAGAAACCCUUGUAGUCCC
Molecule: ribosomal RNA, 446 nt
Filed under: uncultured organism
Description: partial 16S ribosomal RNA
Rfam family: Bacterial small subunit ribosomal RNA
Source: RNAcentral